This 484-nucleotide ribosomal RNA is filed under the name uncultured bacterium. RNAcentral describes it as "partial 16S ribosomal RNA". It matches the Rfam family "Bacterial small subunit ribosomal RNA", at positions 30 to 507 of the family's 1533-position model. The record is from RNAcentral.
AUUGAACGCUGGCGGCAUGCUUUACACAUGCAAGUCGAACGAUGAACCUUAGCUUGCUAAGGGGAUUAGUGGCGCACGGGUGUGUAAUAUAUCGGAACGUGCCUUGUAGUGGGGGAUAACUAGUCGAAAGAUUAGCUAAUACCGCCUACGCCCUGGGGGGGUAAGUAGGGGAUCUUCGGACCUUACGUUAUAAGAGCGGCCGAUAUCUGAUUAGCCAGUUGGUGGGGUAAUGGCCUACCCAGGCGACGAUCAGUAGCUGGUCUGAGAGGACGACCAGCCACACUGGAACUUAGACACGGACCAGACUCCUACGGGAGGCAGCAGUGGGGAACUUUGGACAACGGGCGCAAGCCUGAUCCAGCCAUUCCGCGUGAGUGAAGAAGGCCUUCGGGUGGGAAAGCUCUCUCGCAAGGGAAGAACACUUACCAUCGAAGAAAUGGUGAGGCUGACGGUACCUGGAUAAGAAGCACCGGCUAACUACGUG